Molecule: ribosomal RNA, 527 nt
Filed under: uncultured soil bacterium
Lineage: Bacteria
Description: bacterial SSU rRNA
Rfam family: Bacterial small subunit ribosomal RNA
Source: RNAcentral
AGAGUUUGAUCAUGGCUCAGGACGAACGCUGGCGGCGCGCUUAACACAUGCAAGUCGAGCGAGAACCAGGCUUCGGCCCUGGGACAGCGGCGAACGGGUGAGUAACACGUGGAUAACCUGCCCUCGGCACCGGGAUAGCCCGAGGAAACUCGGAUUAAUACCGGAUAGCCUUUCCGACUCUCGAGUCGGUUCGAAAAGGUAGCUUSSSSCUCUGGCCGAGGAUGGGUCCGCGGCGGAUUAGCUUGUUGGUGGGGUAAUGGCCUACCAAGGCUCCGAUCCGUAGCUGGUCUGAGAGGACGAUCAGCCACACUGGGACUGAGACACGGCCCAGACUCCUACGGGAGGCAGCAGUGGGGAAUCUUGCGCAAUGGGCGAAAGCCUGACGCAGCGACGCCGCGUGAGGGAAGAAGGCCUUCGGGUUGUAAACCUCUUUCAGGAGGGACGAAGCUACUCGGGUGAAUAGCCCAGAGGGUGACGGUACUUCCAGAAGAAGCCCCGGCUAACUACGUGCCAGCAGCCGCGGUAAU